CCUACGGGUGGCAGCAGUCGAGAAUCAUUCACAAUGGGGGAAACCCUGAUGGUGCGACGCCGCGUGGGGGAAUGAAGGUCUUCGGAUUGUAAACCUCUGUCAUGUGGGAGCAAAUUAAAAAGAUAGUACCACAAGAGGAAGAGACGGCUAACUCUGUGCCAGCAGCCGCGGUAAUACAGAGGUCUCAAGCGUUGUUCGGAAUCACUUGGCGUAAAGCGUGCGUAGGCUGUUUCGUAAGUCGUGUGUGAAAGGUGCGGGCUCAACCCGCGGACGGCACAUGAUACUGCGAGACUAGAGUAAUGGAGGGGGAACCGGAAUUCUCGGUGUAGCAGUGAAAUGCGUAGAUAUCGCGAGGAACACUCGUGGCGAAGGCGGGUUCCUGGACAGUAACUGACGCUGAGGCACGAAGGCCAGGGGAGCGAAAGGGAUUAGAUACCCGGGUAGUC
RNAcentral lists this ribosomal RNA (446 nucleotides) under uncultured bacterium. Its description in RNAcentral is "partial 16S ribosomal RNA". It matches the Rfam family "Bacterial small subunit ribosomal RNA", at positions 338 to 795 of the family's 1533-position model. The record is from RNAcentral.